Molecule: non-coding RNA, 2359 nt
Organism: Heterocephalus glaber (naked mole-rat)
Lineage: Eukaryota; Metazoa; Chordata; Mammalia; Rodentia; Bathyergidae
Source: RefSeq, a predicted model, not a curated record
GAAUCUUCCACUAACCUAAUUAACCCAAGUUGCUCAUAUGUCAGGCCAGUUAUAAGCCGAGGGUCCACUGUAGUUGAUUACAAGGUGUUAAAUGAGGGACCUUCUUCAAAAUAUUUUUGUUACUCUUCUUGAAAUCCCUCUAUUAAUAAUUUUUUCCUUUGACGUCUAUCCCCCUUGCCCACGUGUCUUAUUUUAAAACUCCCAUGCCAUUGGCCAAAGAUUAUACUAACAAAAACCAAAGUUUUACCUCCUUUGCAUUUUUUUCCCUGCAAACCCCCUAAACCAGGGCUUGAUGAACUAUGUCCUAGGGACCAAAUUCAGCAAGCCACUUGCUUUUAUACAACCUGAGAACAAAGAAUGGUUUUUAUAUUUUUAAACAGUAAAAAAAUCUCAAAAUAAGAAUAAUUGUUCAUAAUAUAUGAAAAUUAUAUCAACUUGAAAUUUUAAUGUUUAUAAAUAAGGUUUUGUUGGAGCCCAGCUAUAUCUGUCCAUUCACUCAUGUUGUGUCUGUGACUGCUUUAGUGCUAUGAGGACAGGAAUGAGCAGUUGUGACAGCAACAUCAGGGCUUACACAAUCUAACAUAUUUGCUAUCUGGCCCUUCACUGAAGUUUGUUGCCUUUACAGGGAAGCCAUUUGUGUGCCUAGAUUUAUCCCAUCAGCUUGAGUACUUUUUACAAAAAUCACUAGAUGUGGUCUUUUCAGUGGAAAAGUGAUCCUCACUUUAAGAGGUAUAUGGAUUCCCAGAAAGUUCUAUGUAAAAAGAAGCCUUAUCAAGAAAAUAAAUACUUUUUAGGCUUUAGAGAAAUGAGCCUAUUGCCUUUCUGAGGUUUGGGGAACAGGUAGGUUGGGAUGAAAGCCAGUGUCACCCCAGAGACCACUCCUCUUCAUUUUGUUUUCACUGCUCGUAAUUCUUGGAGCUGAGGCCCCUCGGCGCUGCUGCACCCCAUGCUUAAUCUCUGGGUCUCAGCUCCGUGGAAGCAGACUGUUUGAAUUAUGAUCCAAGCAAGAGAGAGAUUUUUCCCAGGGGUAGGGGAGGAAGCAAUUUACUUGGGUAGUCCCAACAACGUGCCUGGGAAAUCAUCUGUCUGCCGCUGAAUGGUUUCCAUCCCGCGAGGAGCGGGGGGGAGACAAGGGUGGGAUUCCCCAAGUGGUUUUUCUCCCCUUCUCCCCACUUCUACCUCGAAUUUAUUGGUAAACGCAUGGUUGUCAUUUUAGGCCCCCAGGUCCCCCGAACUGCUGAGUUGCCAGCACAGGCUUUUCACGUAAGACGUCACAUCGAAGUUGGGAAAGCUGAUGAAGUCCAAUCCAGUGUGAUUUCCCCUGGCUCUUCGGAGCUUUAGGUUUGCCUGGAUUUGCCAGAGGGAUUUCGCUGGUCUCACCCGAAUGAGGCUUGAAACUGUUUUCUCUUCUUACCUUAGAUUGUCACAGCGAGGGGAUGUGUGAGAAUUCUCGGGAGCAGCCUGUGAGCCUUCUAGCUGUGCUCUGAACGUGAGGAGCAAUUUAAAAGUCAUUUACCUUCCGCCUGUGAGAUGAGGAGAAUUGGCGUAAAGCCACAGAUGGUUACUCUGCCUGCCCCUCCUCCUCGGUAGUGAAGGAUGCAUCGAAGAGAAUGAGAAACAUCUAUGAGAAGGCAGACAAUCCGCCUGGCUCCAUAGGAGAGAAAAAGAGAGGGAGACAGAUCCGAGAUGAGAGAUCAGGUGUUACUCAGCCUUCUGUAGUACAUGCAUACUGACCUUGCUCUCCAAGGACUGUAGGGGACAACCUGGACCUCUGAGGACACUACUGCCACCUGCUGUUCACACAUUCUCCAUCCCGUGGCUUCUCUCCAACACCUUCACUCAUAAUCCUCUCAAGCUCUCCAUACUGUGUAUCCUAGACUCAUUUUGUGGCCUGUGUAAUAGAGUUUCAACCUUUGGUCAAGUUCAAAUUCAGGAAGGGCCAAUGCUUGGCCAAGCUAGAAAGGGUUGAAUGAAUCAAGAUAUACUUCUAAACCGUAUGACCUCAGUGCAAGGCCUUUACGUCUUAGAGUCUUUUUCCCCAUGUGUAAAACGAAAGCCACAGUAACAAUAUCUGCUUCAUACUGUUGUAUUUAAGAUGAAAUAAGGUUUUCCCCCAUCUAUACCCUACCUUUCUAUCAAAAAAAGUUGAAUAUGUAAAGGACAAGCCAGGAUGGGGUACAGUUUAACAUCUCUAAAUACCAUAAAUUACUUCUGCUUACAUCAUCAUUUUAGCAACUUUCAACAGUCUUCUUUUAUUUAUUAAAGUGUUUUCUUUUAUACUUUGCCACUGACUUGGAAUUUAUCAAAAUGAAGUCUCUGUCAUUUUCUUUUGUAUUUUAUUAAAAAUGUCCGAACCAAA